RNAcentral lists this ribosomal RNA (253 nucleotides) under uncultured bacterium. RNAcentral's name for it is "partial 16S ribosomal RNA". It matches the Rfam family "Bacterial small subunit ribosomal RNA", at positions 524 to 776 of the family's 1533-position model. The record is from RNAcentral.
UACGGGGGGGGCAAGCGUUGUUCGGAAUUACUGGGCGUAAAGGGCUCGUAGGUGGCCAACUAAGUCAGACGUGAAAUCCCCAGGCUCAACUUGGGAACUGCGUCUGAUACUGGAUGGCUUGAAUUCGGGAGAGGGAUGCAGAAUUCCAGGUGUAGCGGUGAAAUGCGUAGAUAUCUGGAGGAAUACCGGUGGCGAAGGCGGCAUCCUGGACCGGUAUUGACGCUGAGGCGCGAAAGCCAGGGGAGCAAACGGG